GUUGAACGCUGGCGGCGUGCCUAAUACAUGCAAGUCGAGCGAACAGACGAGGAGCUUGCUCCUCUGACGUUAGCGGCGGACGGGUGAGUAACACGUGGAUAACCUACCUAUAAGACUGGGAUAACUUCGGGAAACCGGAGCUAAUACCGGAUAAUAUAUUGAACCGCAUGGUUCAAUAGUGAAAGACGGUUUUGCUGUCACUUAUAGAUGGAUCCGCGCCGCAUUAGCUAGUUGGUAAAGUAACGGCUUACCAAGGCAACGAUGCGUAGCCGACCUGAGAGGGUGAUCGGCCACACUGGAACUGAGACACGGUCUAGACUCCUACGGGAGGCAGCAGUAGGGAAUCUUCCGCAAUGGGCGAAAGCCUGACGGAGCAACGCCGCGUGAGUGAUGAAGGUCUUCGGAUCGUAAAACUCUGUUAUUAGGGAAGAACAAAUGUGUAAGUAACUAUGCACGUCUUGACGGUACCUAAUCAGAAAGCCACGGCUAACUACGUG
RNAcentral lists this ribosomal RNA (497 nucleotides) under uncultured bacterium. RNAcentral's name for it is "partial 16S ribosomal RNA". It matches the Rfam family "Bacterial small subunit ribosomal RNA", at positions 28 to 507 of the family's 1533-position model. The record is from RNAcentral.